RNAcentral lists this ribosomal RNA (1344 nucleotides) under uncultured bacterium. Its description in RNAcentral is "bacterial SSU rRNA". It matches the Rfam family "Bacterial small subunit ribosomal RNA", at positions 28 to 1381 of the family's 1533-position model. The record is from RNAcentral.
GACGAACGCUGGCGGCGUGCUUAACACAUGCAAGUCGAACGGUGAAGGUGGAGCUUGCUCUGCUGGAUCAGUGGCGAACGGGUGAGUAACACGUGAGUAACCUGCCCUUGACUCUGGGAUAAGCGUUGGAAACGACGUCUAAUACCGGAUAUGAGCUGAGACCGCAUGGUCAUCAGUUGGAAAGAAUUUCGGUCAAGGAUGGACUCGCGGCCUAUCAGCUUGUUGGUGAGGUAAUGGCUCACCAAGGCGACGACGGGUAGCCGGCCUGAGAGGGUGACCGGCCACACUGGGACUGAGACACGGCCCAGACUCCUACGGGAGGCAGCAGUGGGGAAUAUUGCACAAUGGGCGCAAGCCUGAUGCUGCAACGCCGCGUGAGGGAUGACGGCCUUCGGGUUGUAAACCUCUUUUAGUAGGGAAGAAGCGAAAGUGACGGUACCUGCAGAAAAAGCACCAGCUAACUACGUGCCAGCAGCCGCGGUAAUACGUAGGGUGCAAGCGUUGUCCGGAAUUAUUGGGCGUAAAGAGCUCGUAGGCGGUUUGUCGCGUCUGCUGUGAAAACUGGAGGCUCAACCUCCAGCCUGCAGUGGGUACGGGCAGACUAGAGUGCGGUAGGGGAGAUUGGAAUUCCUGGUGUAGCGGUGGAAUGCGCAGAUAUCAGGAGGAACACCGAUGGCGAAGGCAGAUCUCUGGGCCGUAACUGACGCUGAGGAGCGAAAGCGUGGGGAGCGAACAGGAUUAGAUACCCUGGUAGUCCACGCCGUAAACGUUGGGAACUAGAUGUGGGGACCAUUCCACGGUCUCCGUGUCGCAGCUAACGCAUUAAGUUCCCCGCCUGGGGAGUACGGCCGCAAGGCUAAAACUCAAAGGAAUUGACGGGGGCCCGCACAAGCGGCGGAGCAUGCGGAUUAAUUCGAUGCAACGCGAAGAACCUUACCAAGGCUUGACAUAUACGAGAACGGGCCAGAAAUGGUCAACUCUUUGGACACUCGUAAACAGGUGGUGCAUGGUUGUCGUCAGCUCGUGUCGUGAGAUGUUGGGUUAAGUCCCGCAACGAGCGCAACCCUCGUUCUAUGUUGCCAGCACGUUAUGGUGGGAACUCAUAGGAGACUGCCGGGGUCAACUCGGAGGAAGGUGGGGAUGACGUCAAAUCAUCAUGCCCCUUAUGUCUUGGGCUUCACGCAUGCUACAAUGGCCGGUACAAAGGGCUGCAAUACCGUAAGGUGGAGCGAAUCCCAAAAAGCCGGUCUCAGUUCGGAUUGAGGUCUGCAACUCGACCUCAUGAAGUCGGAGUCGCUAGUAAUCGUGAAUCAGCAACGUCACGGUGAAUACGUUCCCGGGCCU